AGUAACAGCGAAAAAUAAUUAAAUCAGAAAACAGAAUUCGACACACGAAUCCUAGAUAUCUACCAGCAGAUAAGCACCAAGCCUAAACUGCACCAGAUGGCAGCAACUAGAAAUUGAAAAACAAGAGAGGUUUAAGCCGCUUUACCAGAGCGGGAUCCUAAGGUCAGGACCCCGACUUACCAAUGCGACGACGAGGUCAACCGUGGCUCUGAUACCACUGUUGAGUAUCGACCCUCGUCGUCGUUGUUGAAGGCUUCCUUCUCCGGGGCAGCAAAGCAGCGGCAACACAGCGGCGGAACAGCAGCAGGGACGGCGGCGGCAGGGGCAGCAGCAGCGGCGGCUGUCCUCCGGCAACAACGCAGCAGCAACAGCGGCGCAGCAACGAGGUAGCAGCAGCCUCGACAACCUGCAAGGAAAAACACACAAAGAGAGGAACAAGGGGCGUCGAUCUUCUCGGCUCAGCCACAGACCAAGGGCUCUUUAAAUAGCCUACCAUAGAAGGAUCUAGAGAAGGAAGGUGAAGAGGUUCAUGGGGGAGAAGAAGCGCAGGGGUCACAGCCCCAAAAGGGCACUAAUUUUCGACUGGAAGGGGGAAAUGAGAGGGCUGCCAAAAUAAGGAGGAUAGGGCAUGGGCUUGUUGGGCCAAAUUUGGGCCAACUAACAACAUAAC
Long non-coding RNA from Salvia miltiorrhiza (redroot sage), 670 nucleotides. RefSeq lists it as uncharacterized. NCBI's taxonomy places the organism in Eukaryota, Viridiplantae, Streptophyta, Magnoliopsida, Lamiales, Lamiaceae. The transcript is spliced from 2 exons. The record is from RefSeq and is a predicted model, not a curated record.